UAACCUGCCCAAGAGAUCGGGAUAACACCUGGAAACAGAUGCUAAUACCGGAUAACAACAGAUGAUGCAUAUCAACUGUUUAAAAGAUGGUUCUGCUAUCACUCUUGGAUGGACCUGCGGUGCAUUAGCUAGUUGGUAGGGUAACGGCCUACCAAGGCGAUGAUGCAUAGCCGAGUUGAGAGACUGAUCGGCCACAUUGGGACUGAGACACGGCCCAAACUCCUACGGGAGGCAGCAGUA
This 240-nucleotide ribosomal RNA is filed under the name uncultured Lactobacillus sp. RNAcentral describes it as "partial 16S ribosomal RNA". It matches the Rfam family "Bacterial small subunit ribosomal RNA", at positions 122 to 355 of the family's 1533-position model. The record is from RNAcentral. Lineage: Bacteria; Bacillati; Bacillota; Bacilli; Lactobacillales; Lactobacillaceae.